Long non-coding RNA from Neopelma chrysocephalum (saffron-crested tyrant-manakin), 342 nucleotides. RefSeq lists it as uncharacterized. Lineage: Eukaryota; Metazoa; Chordata; Aves; Passeriformes; Pipridae. The record is from RefSeq and is a predicted model, not a curated record. The transcript has 2 exons.
GGGUCCAGGAUCAUUUUGGGGGGGUCCAGGAUCAUUCUGGGGGGUCUAGGAUUAUUUUAGGGGGGUCCAGGAUCAUCUUGGGGGUCCUGGCUCAUUUUGGGGGGUCCAGGAUCAUUUUAGGGGCGUCUUGGAUCAUUUUGGGGGGGUUUGGGAUCAUUUCUGUGAGGUCCAGGAUCAUUUUAGGAGGGUCCAGGAUCAUCUUGGGGGGGUCCUGGCUCAUUUUGGGGGCCCCCAGAGGUUCCCACCCCCCCCCCAGACUCAAAUGAUGACAGACUUUGGGCUGAAUUGGGGCCGUUUUGGGGCCGUGAUGCUCCAAAGUAAACGCUCUGAUGGGUCUGGGGG